AUUGAACGCUGGCGGCAGGCCUAACACAUGCCAGUCGAACGGUAACAGGAAGCAGCUUGCUGCUUUGCUGACGAGUGGCGGACGGGUGAGUAAUGUCUGGGAAACUGCCUGAUGGAGGGGGAUAACUACUGGAAACGGUAGCUAAUACCGCAUAACGUCGCAAGACCAAAGAGGGGGACCUUCGGGCCUCUUGCCAUCGGAUGUGCCCAGAUGGGAUUAGCUAGUAGGUGGGGUAACGGCUCACCUAGGCGACGAUCCCUAGCUGGUCUGAGAGGAUGACCAGCCACACUGGAACUGAGACACGGUCCAGACUCCUACGGGAGGCAGCAGUGGGGAAUAUUGCACAAUGGGCGCAAGCCUGAUGCAGCCAUGCCGCGUGUAUGAAGAAGGCCUUCGGGUUGUAAAGUACUUUCAGCGGGGAGGAAGGGAGUAAAGUUAAUACCUUUGCUCAUGGACGUUACCCGCAGAAGAAGCACCGGCUAACUCCGU
This 489-nucleotide ribosomal RNA is filed under the name uncultured bacterium. Its description in RNAcentral is "partial 16S ribosomal RNA". It matches the Rfam family "Bacterial small subunit ribosomal RNA", at positions 30 to 506 of the family's 1533-position model. The record is from RNAcentral.